Molecule: long non-coding RNA, 1057 nt
Filed under: Amborella trichopoda
Lineage: Eukaryota; Viridiplantae; Streptophyta; Magnoliopsida; Amborellales; Amborellaceae
Description: long non-coding RNA (ATRI_LNC003829)
Source: RNAcentral
UUCCUUUGCCAUAGGCUUCUAUGUGACGAAUAAGCCUGAGGUCCUCUUCAUGUGACCAUAGGCGUUUCCCACUUCGCUUUGCAUGCUUCUUGGCUGAAGUCUCUUCCCUUUCCAUGGGGGGCUUGUAGGACGCUUGUAAUGUUUCACAUGAAAUUCCUCCAUACCCCAACAAUUCAUUGAAGAAAUGCAUCGACACCCAAACUGGUAAGCAAGUAAAUGUACAGAGUAACGUGACAGUGAGCUAGCUUCAAGUUCAUAGAGUGGUGUCUGGGAUCCACUCUGGAAAUGUCUAAAUUACUACUACCUAUUUUGGGAGUGAUUCAUAAUGGCACCUGUUCUUCAAAAUUUCCAUCUUAAAAUGCAAACGGUAACUAUCCUGAUCCAACAAUAACAAGAUUGGCUUAUUCAGCAAAGGAAACUCCAUGAACUCUCAUCAGUUAAAGCUCAAUUAGUGUCUCCUGAUUUGUUGGGCCGUUCUUUUUAUAUUUUUGUUCGUUUUUCUUGACGUGAAUCAGUAGGGAGAGGGUCCCUACCCUUGAUAGGAGUGGAGCCUAGGAUUUAGUGUUGCAAUUUGUCAGGCGCUAACCAAUUAAGCUUGGGCUCUUUUCCUCUUUUUUGUUGUUGCACCAAAAACUCUUGAAACUUUGGAGAUUGUUCCUGAGGCUCUAACCAAAGGAAGCAGCUUCAAGGGAGCGUGGAGGGCUUACCAGGGAAGACAAAGAAACACUUGGCGUGGGAACUGCAUACAAGAGAGAGAGCGGGGUUUUUAAACAGACCUCAAAGCACAGAAUUCGAUUUAAUAUUUUAUGGCGGGUCCAGGGUCUUUAUUACCUAUUGUUAUAGAUUUCCCUACCCUCCAAGCAGGAAAUAGAUUUUAUGAUUUUUGAGGGAAAUCUUGGGUAAUGUGUUUUCAUUUCUUGCCAUCUAUAUAUCUACCCAAACGUUGGAAACAACAUAUUUUCUUGUAAUCUAUUACCCAGUAGUAGAAAUACAGAUACUUAAACAGCCCAUUAGGAAACUCAUAUUCGUGAUGGACUGGGCCAUGUUACCAUAUGAU